GACGAACGCUGGCGGCGUGCUUAACACAUGCAAGUCGAGCGGUAAGGCUCCUUCGGGAGUACACGAGCGGCGAACGGGUGAGUAACACGUGAGCAAUCUGCCCUUCACACGGGGAUAACCCUCGGAAACGAGAGCUAAUACCCGAUACGACCACUUCAGGCAUCUGAUGGCGGUGGAAAGUUCCGGCGGUGGAGGAUGAGCUCGCGGCCUAUCAGCUUGUUGGUGGGGUAACGGCCCACCAAGGCAACGACGGGGAGCCGGCCUGAGAGGGUGAGCGGCCACACUGGGACUGAGGCACGGCCCAGACUCCUACGGGAGGCAGCAGUGGGGAAUAUUGGACAAUGGGCGAAAGCCUGAUCCAGCAACGCCGCGUGAGGGAUGACGGCCUUCGGGUUGUAAACCUCUUUCAGCAGGGACGAAGCGCAAGUGACGGUACCUGCAGAAGAAGCACCGGCCAACUACGUGCCAGCCGCCGCCGUAA
This 481-nucleotide ribosomal RNA is filed under the name uncultured bacterium. RNAcentral describes it as "partial 16S ribosomal RNA". It matches the Rfam family "Bacterial small subunit ribosomal RNA", at positions 28 to 523 of the family's 1533-position model. The record is from RNAcentral.